UUACGGCCAUAUCACGUUAAAACACUGGUUCCCGUAGGAUCACGAAGCUAAGCAACAUCGAACGUGGUCAGUACCUAGGUGGGUGACCGAUUGGGAAUACCAGA
Acanthosepion pharaonis is the source of this 104-nucleotide non-coding RNA. The record is from the annotation of a GenBank genome assembly. Lineage: Eukaryota; Metazoa; Mollusca; Cephalopoda; Sepiida; Sepiidae.